GACAGAGGGGGCAAGCGUUGCUCGGAAUCACUGGGCGUAAAGGGCGCGUAGGCGGAUUGCGCAGUCGGGCGUGAAAUUCCUGGGCUUAACCUGGGGGCUGCGUUCGAGACGUGUGGUCUGGAGUGCGGAAGAGGGUCGUGGAAUUCCCAGUGUAGAGGUGAAAUUCGUAGAUAUUGGGAAGAACACCGGUGGCGAAGGCGACUGACUGGACAGAUAUUGACGCUGAGGUGCGAAAGCGUGGGGAGCAAACAGG
This 253-nucleotide ribosomal RNA is filed under the name uncultured bacterium. Its description in RNAcentral is "partial 16S ribosomal RNA". It matches the Rfam family "Bacterial small subunit ribosomal RNA", at positions 524 to 776 of the family's 1533-position model. The record is from RNAcentral.